RNAcentral lists this long non-coding RNA (589 nucleotides) under Athene cunicularia (burrowing owl). RNAcentral's name for it is "lncRNA (ENSACUG00000007722.1)". Lineage: Eukaryota; Metazoa; Chordata; Aves; Strigiformes; Strigidae. The record is from RNAcentral.
CAAGAAGAGAGUAAUAGUCCCUUCCAGGUCUUUGGAAAGGAUGACAGCAGUGAUGUAUGCCAAAUAUUUUGCAGCCAAUGUGUCUACUGAUGUUGCAUUCACUCCAGUCCAGGAUGGAAACAGGUUUUUGGAACACUCUGAAUGUGUGGAAUGGAGGUCUUCUACAUGUUGAAUCGUAUUUCCUGCACUGUGUCUGUACUGGCCUGCAAAAGAAGGAACAUUUUCAGGGAAAGAGGUUGUUUUCUGAAAGCUACAAAUAUUAAAGCUGUUAGACUUCCAUGAAAAGAAGAAAAAAAAGAAAAAAAAAAAAAAAGAAAAAAGAAAGUCAUUAUUUUACAGUUUCAUUGGGAAAACCCUCUCAAAUGCAAGACAGUUUCUGGAGACUGGAAAAAUCUGGAACCAGGCUUCAUUCUUGAAGGCAGAGGAGUGACAUGGUGAAUCUCAAUUCCAGGUCUGCAAGAAGUUCAGUUCAAGAUUCUGCUCCAUGCCAGGCAUAUGAACAUGGACUUUCCUUUACUCCUGAUGAGAACCUAAAACAGCUAUUACAGAGUUCCCUCACUUUUAAAUGAAUUUUAGAUCUUUGCAGCUG